UAAGAGAUAGUUUAACACGCAAAACAAAGAAAUUUGACUUCUUUACUAUAAGUUCAACCCUUAUUCCCUUAA
RNAcentral lists this transfer RNA (72 nucleotides) under Brisingaster robillardi. Its description in RNAcentral is "tRNA-Gln". It matches the Rfam family "tRNA". Rfam says of the family: Transfer RNA (tRNA) molecules are approximately 80 nucleotides in length. Their secondary structure includes four short double-helical elements and three loops (D, anti-codon, and T loops). The record is from RNAcentral. Lineage: Eukaryota; Metazoa; Echinodermata; Asteroidea; Brisingida; Brisingidae.